Molecule: long non-coding RNA, 235 nt
Filed under: Mytilus galloprovincialis (Mediterranean mussel)
Lineage: Eukaryota; Metazoa; Mollusca; Bivalvia; Mytilida; Mytilidae
Source: RNAcentral
UGCCAAUGAGACAACUAUCCACAAAAGACCAAAAUGACACAGACAUUAACAACUAUAGGUCACCGUACGGCCUUCAACAAUGAGCAAAGCCCAUACCGCAUAGUCAGCUAUAAAGGCCCGAUGAGACAAUGUAAAAACAAUUCAAACGAGAAAACUAACGGCCUUAUUUAUGUAAAAAAAUGAACGAAAAACAAAUAUGUAACACAUAAACAAACGACAACCACUGAAUUACAGA